UACGGCAGAGAUGUCGUAGCCGCUAGGUCUGUAUACAGGUGGUGCAUGGUUGUCGUCAGCUCGUGUCGUGAGAUGUUGGGUUAAGUCCCGCAACGAGCGCAACCCUCGUUCUGUGUUGCCAGCAUUUAGUUGGGGACUCACAGGAGACUGCCGGGGUUAACUCGGAGGUAGGUGGGAAUGACGUCAAAUCAUCAUGCCACUUAUGUCUUGGGCUGCACGCAUGCUACAAUGGCUGGUACAAACCGCUGCAAUACCGCAAGGUGGAGCGAAUCCGAGAAAGCCAGUCUCAGUUCGGAUUGGGGUCUGCAACACGACCCCAUGAAGUCGGAGUUGCUAGUAAUCGU
Molecule: ribosomal RNA, 344 nt
Filed under: uncultured Actinomycetes bacterium
Lineage: Bacteria; Bacillati; Actinomycetota; Actinomycetes
Description: bacterial SSU rRNA
Rfam family: Bacterial small subunit ribosomal RNA
Source: RNAcentral